RNAcentral lists this ribosomal RNA (467 nucleotides) under uncultured bacterium. RNAcentral describes it as "partial 16S ribosomal RNA". It matches the Rfam family "Bacterial small subunit ribosomal RNA", at positions 28 to 506 of the family's 1533-position model. The record is from RNAcentral.
GACGAACGCUGGCGGCGUGCUUAACACAUGCAAGUCGAACGGAAAGGCCCUGCUUUUGUGGGGUGCUCGAGUGGCGAACGGGUGAGUAACACGUGAGUAACCUGCCCUUGACUUUGGGAUAACUUCAGGAAACUGGGGCUAAUACCGGAUAGGAGCUCCUGCUGCAUGGUGGGGGUUGGAAAGUUUCGGCGGUUGGGGAUGGACUCGCGGCUUAUCAGCUUGUUGGUGGGGUAGUGGCUUACCAAGGCUUUGACGGGUAGCCGGCCUGAGAGGGUGACCGGACACAGGGGAAUUAGGAAACGGCCAGGACUCCUACGGGAGGAAGCAGUGGGGAAUAUUGCAAAAGGGGCGGAAGCCUGAUGCAGCAACGCCGGGUGGGGGAGGACGGCCUUCGGGUUGUAAACCGCUUUCGCCUGUGACGAAGCGUGAGUGACGGUAAUGGGUAAAGAAGCACCGGCUAACUACGU